This is a long non-coding RNA of Marmota monax (woodchuck), 2114 nucleotides long. RefSeq lists it as uncharacterized. The transcript is spliced from 3 exons. The record is from RefSeq and is a predicted model, not a curated record. NCBI's taxonomy places the organism in Eukaryota, Metazoa, Chordata, Mammalia, Rodentia, Sciuridae.
UUUGCUCUGAAUUGAAGUGACUGCCUCUCUUCAGUACUUCCGGCACCCUUGAGGCCUUCUUUGCUUUUCAGGAAAACACUUCAGAGAGAAGAGGACAGCCAGGAGAGAAGAUUGGUGGUGCCCUAUGGUGAUCUAUGGUGUGCAGAGGGAUAUAGGAAGCAGAGCUUGUUUGGAAACUUUCAGAAGGAACUCUCGUGGAUUCCUGCAGAUCCUCAUUCUACCUUCCCAGCUCUUCAGAAUAACUGCUCCAGGUCUCAAGUUCUCUGUGGUUAAGAUGUAGAGUUUGGGGUGAGAAGUGGAAGGUAAUGAGGUUGGUGGUACAAGUUGUUGGAGCUUAUGUUACCUGAGUCCCUGAAUGACCAUGUGGAGCAGAUUGCCUGCACGUACAUCCUGGCCUUGUUGUGUUAGGUGGGAACAACCUCAUCUGAGAUUUAGGUUGUUUGCUAUUGCAACCUAAUCUAUUCUAUUCUUAUUAAUUCAGAUAAAGAAACUGCAUAACAUAGUUUUGAACAGUAUAGACACAGGAUCCAAGCUGUCUGUUCCGCUCUUGUCUUUUGCAGUUACUAGCUAAGACAGUCAGAAAAAAUUUCUCUGUGUUUCUUAGUUCUCUCAUCUAGCAAAAUGGAGAAAAUAAUAAGUCUAUGUUAUGGGUUUGUUUUGAGGACUAAAGUAAUUAAAAAACAGAAAGCUCAGAAUUGCAUAAAUAGUAAGUUUUGUUUAAGAAAGAAGAGGCUGCGCAAAGCCAGCAAGAGGUUAGGAGAAAAACAGGAGAAAGUGAGCUCACAGGAACAGAAAGAGUGUUUCAAGAGGAGGGAAGCAUUCGCUUGGCAAAUACUGUUGCAGAGUCAAGUAGAUGGAGACACCAGAGCGCCUGUGAGACUUUGUAAUCUGUGGGUCACUGAUGCUCUGAGCAAAAGCAGUGUCAGUGGUGCGUGGGCGUGUGUGCAAAGGAGCAGCUGUGGAAGACACAGUGAUGUGGGUUAAAAUGGAGAAAGCAUCUGUUUCCAUGCCCUUGGGGCAGCUUGGCUGAGAAUGGAGAAUACAGAGAUGAGGUGAUUAUUAGAAGUGGAUAUAAGACAGGAAGGUUUUAUUUGAUUUUAUUUAAUUUUUUGGCGGGGAGGAUUGAACCCAGGAGCACUUUAUCACUGAGCCACAUCUGCAGCCCUUUAUUUUAUUUGAAGACAGGGUCUUGAGAAGUUGCCGAGUCUGACCUCAAACUUUAGAUCCUCCUGCCUCAGCGUCCUGAGUUGCUGGGAUUAUGGGGCUGUACCACUGGGAUCCCACCAACACUUUGAUUUUGAGAUGGGAGAUUCUAUGGCAUAUUUAAAGAGUGAAGGGAAAGUUCAAUCAGGGAGGGGAAGUUGAAAAUAAGAAGACAUUAAUCAUGGUCACAUGUCCUGGUAGUGCUUUGAGCAAGUGAGAUCUGGAACACAGGUAGUGGGACUGGCCUCCACCUCCAUUGGACUGGGAACGAGGGAGGGGUGGAGGGAGGAUAGGGCAGGUGCAGAGAAGGUGAUGAAUUUGGGGGCAGGAAAAGGAGGAAGUGCUCUUUGAUAAACAGUGGGACUGACGUGGCUAAGUGGGAGGUGGGAGGCUCUGAGUGAGGGGAAGUGGAAAGCUGUCCCCAGGAGGGAGGCUGAACAAAGGCCCCACUGCCCACGUGGGCUUCCAUUUGGAGGUGCCUGCCACAGCUCUGGAUCUGAAGCUUAUCCAUAAGCUCAAAGCCAGAAUCCUCUCUUCUCUCCAUGAAGAUGUAGGACAUAGUUCUCUGCUAGAACAGGGUCCAGCUAGGGCUUACUAGUGGUGUUUGGUCCUCAGUUGGUAUUUUCAAACUGGUUUCCCACCUCUCCUCCACAUGAGCAUUCCUUUAGAAACUGUUCUGUUCCAACUGUUCUCUCUCUUGAGAUUUUAUUGGGUCCUUUUGAACAGAUCCCCUGCCUCAUGGGACUUUACCCAUCUGGAAUGUUUUCUGCACCAUCUCCUCUCAACUAAAUCCAAAUCACCUUUCUAGGCUAUGCUCAGGCUUUGGUGCAGGGUCUCCAUCCUGUCAUCCCACAGUGACCUCUCCUGCAGUGUUCCCACAUCACUUGGUGUCUACCUCCUCCUACUGAGGA